Molecule: ribosomal RNA, 436 nt
Filed under: uncultured bacterium
Lineage: Bacteria
Description: bacterial SSU rRNA
Rfam family: Bacterial small subunit ribosomal RNA
Source: RNAcentral
AACGCGAAGAACCUUACCUGGGCUUGACAUAUACAUGACCGUUACAGAGAGGUAACUUUCUCGCAAGAGACAUGUAAACAGGUGCUGCAUGGCUGUCGUCAGCUCGUGCCGUGAGGUGUUGGGUUAAGUCCCGCAACGAGCGCAACCCUUGUCGUUAGUUGCCAACACGUGAUGGUGGGCACUCUAGCGAGACUGCCUAGGUUAACUAGGAGGAAGGUGAGGAUGACGUCAAGUCCGCAUGGCCUUUAUGCCCAGGGCUACACACGUGCUACAAUGGUCGGUACAGAAGGUGGCAAAACCGUGAGGUGGAGCAAAUCCCUAAAGCCGGCCCCAGUUCGGAUUGGAGUCUGCAACUCGACUCCAUGAAGAUGGAAUUGCUAGUAAUGGCGAGUCAGCAACAUUGCCGUGAAUACGUUCCCGGGUCUUGUACACACCG